Molecule: long non-coding RNA, 1206 nt
Filed under: Fragaria vesca (wild strawberry)
Lineage: Eukaryota; Viridiplantae; Streptophyta; Magnoliopsida; Rosales; Rosaceae
Description: long non-coding RNA (FVES_LNC004902)
Source: RNAcentral
GAAACCGAGAAAUACCGAAAAAGUUGGUUUGGUUUUUGAUAAAUACCGAAUUUACCGAAAUUCUAAUUAUUUAAAAACUUAUAUUUCUAAAAACACACAGACUAAUAAUCUUAUCUCACGUUUUCAAUUGUAUAUACCAUUUAGUAAAAAACAAGACAAUGAAUAGAAAAAUUCAACUAUACUUGGUAGCAUUCGGGUCUCAAUUAAAGCGAUCAACUUUAAUUCAAUGUUACUUGUUAUAUAAAAACGCUCUUACCUACCCGUCUUAGUCGAUUCAUCACACACACACAUAGACAAACCCACUUAGAUGACAUGUAACCGCCCAUGUAAAAAUUUAGGAAUGUUUUUACCUCUCUUGAUGAUAGGGCUCCCCAUAGGAAGCACAAGCGUAAAUAGGGUUAGCCGCCUUGAUCAAGGCCAAAACAUUAUCAAAAAUACCUAAUUUUUCUACCAUAGUCUUAUUUCACUAUAUUGAUCACAUUAUAGUUCACAAGGUUUUUGAAAAUUUUGCUUCCUCUUUGUAGUUGGUUCACAAAGAUGUACAUAUGCAUAUAACUUACUAAAUAAGUUAUACCACAUUACCAGGCAUGUUGUGACACGACCCACCCCGAAUUUCACCCUGAAACCCGGAGUAAGUCGUGCGGGGACCACCUCCAAGGAAAAUUUACUGAAAAGAUUAAGAAAAUCUCCCUUGCAUAUGGACAACCCUAACUCGAAAAUUUCAUAUUACACUCUUAAUUCAACACUUCCAAACAUCACAUAAUUAUCCUUUAGAAAUUCUACACAUAAUAUACAAUAAUCCCAAAAUAUUCAGAGCUACUAAACACAAGCGGAAGCAAGAAGACACGAGUAGGUUGAAUAGGUAACCUACUGACGAAAACUGGCAGAAAUGCGGGUGACUAUGCCUCGUCUCCUACUAGAUCCAACCCGAACUCUGCAGACUGGGCAAUUUAAAAUGAAAGGCCCAGGGGAAAACAUUUAAUAACGUUAGAGUGAGUGGACAAAAUAAAAUAAUAAAUAAAAUAUUUAUGUUUCCCCAAAUUAAUUUCUAAGGAAAAAUCGAAUGCAUGCCGCAAGCGAUAAAACUUUUAUCCCAUAAAAUAUCGAGCCUCUCAGACUCUAUAAAAUAUAUGUAUGUAUUUACACUCGUCCAUACUCCCUAUAUAAAUUCAUGGGUCUAUAUAGGGCUACUACGCUCGCGUCCAA